AAGAAGAAGAAAAGAAAAGAAAGAAGAUUCAUAGAUUGGUGACUUUGAUCUAAUCAUCUCUUGGAGGUAAGAUUUGUUUUUAUGGUACUCCUAACUAUUUCUUUAGACAUAGUAUCUUGUAUGUUGAUUGGGUGUAUGUAUUUUGGGGUUUUGGAAUUUACUUGUAGACUAUAGGAUUAGAUUAUUACAUUAUAAAGAAAAGAAUGAUAGAUGCAUCAUGGUGAUCAAUAAUAAUUGUUUAUGUGGUAUAAUAUUUUAUUAGGUUUGUGAGAUUGAGGUGGAUCUUGGUAAUUUGAGAUUAGCUUGGGAAAUAUUAUUUUAGCUGUUUGAGAUUCUGAAGAGUAGAGCUGCGCGGGAUUUUUUUACAUAUGGGAGUGCCGAGAGUCGGACUAUGAUUUAAGUACUUGGAUUAUUUGUUUUGUUAAUGGAUUUUAUUAGUGGAUUUGAUGGAUAAUUUCAUAUGAUAAGAAUAAUUAAUUUUUUU
This is a non-coding RNA of Camellia sinensis, 484 nucleotides long. The record is from RefSeq and is a predicted model, not a curated record. NCBI's taxonomy places the organism in Eukaryota, Viridiplantae, Streptophyta, Magnoliopsida, Ericales, Theaceae.